Molecule: ribosomal RNA, 389 nt
Filed under: uncultured bacterium
Lineage: Bacteria
Description: bacterial SSU rRNA
Rfam family: Bacterial small subunit ribosomal RNA
Source: RNAcentral
GUGCCAGCAGCCGCGGUAAGACGGAGGGGGCUAGCGUUGUUCGGAAUGACUGGGCGUAAAGGGCGCGUAGGCGGUUUAAUAAGUGAGGCGUGAAAGCCCUGGGCUUAACCCAGGAGGUGCGUUUCAUACUGUAAGACUUGAGUACGAGAGAGGAAAGCGGAAUUCCUAGUGUAGAGGUGAAAUUCGUAGAUAUUAGGAAGAACACCAGUGGCGAAGGCGGCUUUCUGGCUCGUAACUGACGCUGAGGCGCGAAAGCGUGGGGAGCAAACAGGAUUAGAUACCCUGGUAGUCCACGCUGUAAAACGAUGAGUGCUAGACGUUGGGGAGGAAUCUUCAGUGUCGCAGCUAACGCAUUAAGCACUCCGCCUGGGGAGUACGGUCGCAAGAUU